Molecule: ribosomal RNA, 253 nt
Filed under: uncultured bacterium
Lineage: Bacteria
Description: partial 16S ribosomal RNA
Rfam family: Bacterial small subunit ribosomal RNA
Source: RNAcentral
UACAGAGGUGGCAAGCGUUGUUCGGAAUUACUGGGCGUAAAGAGCGUGUAGGCGGCCCGGUAAGUCCGCUGUGAAAGUCCAGGGCUCAACCCUGGGAUGCCGGUGGAUACUGUCGGGCUCGAGUCCGGAAGAGGAGUGUGGAAUUCCUGGUGUAGCGGUGAAAUGCGCAGAUAUCAGGAAGAACACCUAUGGCGAAGGCAGCUCUCUGGGACGGUACUGACGCUGAGACGCGAAAGCGUGGGGAGCGAACAGG